This 27-nucleotide small RNA is filed under the name uncultured Micromonas. Its description in RNAcentral is "partial transfer-messenger RNA". Lineage: Eukaryota; Viridiplantae; Chlorophyta; Mamiellophyceae; Mamiellales. The record is from RNAcentral.
GGCGCGCGCGCAAGUCCGCGCACGACG